This 235-nucleotide ribosomal RNA is filed under the name uncultured bacterium. RNAcentral's name for it is "partial 16S ribosomal RNA". It matches the Rfam family "Bacterial small subunit ribosomal RNA", at positions 118 to 360 of the family's 1533-position model. The record is from RNAcentral.
UGAGCAAUCUGCCCUUCUCUUCGGAAUAAGCGUUGGAAACGACGUCUAAUGCCGAAUACGACCUCCUUUCGCAUGAUCGGAGGUGGAAAGCUCCGGCGGAGAAGGAUGAGCUCGCGGCCUAUCAGCUAGUUGGUGUGGGUAAUGGCCCACAAGGCGACGACGGGUAGCCGGCCUGAGAGGGUGACCCGGCCACACGUGGGACUGAGACACGGCCCAGUACUUCCCGUAACGGGGA